CCCGUACUGUUGGUGUUGUAAAUCAUUAUCGUCAUCGAUAUUGACUUGCCUCGAGCACACACCGUUGUGUGUAUCGAUAUCACCAUUAGUCUGGUUGGCUCACAGGCAGUCAGUAUGUGGUGCGGUGUCAGCAGCAGAACCAGCAGCAGCAGCAUUGUUGCGAGUGCAUUGUGUUGGCAGCUUCGAGUGAGCUUGUGCCCCCCGUGCUGGCCUCCCCUGCUAAGGUGCUGGUGCUCGAGAGGAAGAAAAUUGAAAAACUCUAAAUAAUCCAAAUAAACCCCGCCGGCCGUCCCUCGUC
Molecule: long non-coding RNA, 298 nt
Organism: Anopheles aquasalis
Lineage: Eukaryota; Metazoa; Arthropoda; Insecta; Diptera; Culicidae
Source: RefSeq, a predicted model, not a curated record